UCAGGAGAUAUGAAAAAUGCAUAUUUUUGCUUAUAACUUCUGAAUGGUUUGGCCAAAAAUAACAAAACUGGUCUCUUUAGAUUGAGUGGGUCAUGCCGAGUCGAAUGAUAUCCAAUUUUCACGUGUCGGCCAUUUUAGGUGUCGGCCAUUUUGAAUUAUGUUUCAAAAUGCUGUAUUUUUUGAACGCAUUAUCGUAUCGUUACGAAAAUAAUUACAAAAAUGUUUGGCUCCAUGCCCUGAAGCUACUCAAAAAGUUUGGUGGCAGCGCCACCUUGUGGUCAAAAGUUAUAAUGAAAUAUCUUAAAAAUGCUAAUAACUUUUGAAAAAAUUAGACUAUUGCAAUGAAAGUCAUGUCUCUAUAUUCUUUGGGUCAUG
Molecule: long non-coding RNA, 375 nt
Organism: Cyprinus carpio carpio
Lineage: Eukaryota; Metazoa; Chordata; Actinopteri; Cypriniformes; Cyprinidae
Source: Ensembl